Molecule: long non-coding RNA, 362 nt
Filed under: Numida meleagris (helmeted guineafowl)
Lineage: Eukaryota; Metazoa; Chordata; Aves; Galliformes; Numididae
Description: lncRNA (ENSNMEG00000009954.1)
Source: RNAcentral
CUCAAAUCAGCAUCUCUGGCUGUUUGCUUCUGAGCUGAGGACCCCUGUGCAACACUGGCUGCAUGGAGCGACCAGGCUGGAACGGGAAGAAGGAGACAUUGACAUUCCUUGGUGGUGUGUGACUGGUCAUCAGCUGACCAGAAGAUACUGAUGGAGGUGCUUCUUCACGCAAGCAAGACUGCAAGCCCCAGCUCCUUUUCAUUCGACUGAGAAGAUAAUGCAUGGUAGCGAUGUGAAUGUGUUGCUCUCAUGAGGUGAGUGCUGACUUUUGGCCAUACCAGUGGUAACGAAGGGUUACAGAAGUGCUGAAACUCAAAAAUACAAACACAAAUAUCAGACCUUCAGCCCUCCCAUAGGGCAUU